UAAGGAAUAUUGGUCAAUGGACGCAAGUCUGAACCAGCCAUGCCGCGUGAAGGAUGAAGGUCCUCUGGAUUGUAAACUUCUUUUAUCUGGGACGAAAACGGGAUUUUUAUCUCAAUUGACGGUACCAGAGGAAUAAGCACCGGCUAACUCCGUGCCAGCAGCCGCGGUAAUACGGAGGGUGCGAGCGUUAUCCGGAUUUACUGGGUUUAAAGGGUGCGUAGGUGGGCUUAUAAGUCAGUGGUGAAAUCUCCGAGCUUAACUUGGAAACUGCCGUUGAUACUAUAGGUCUUGAAUUAUCUGGAGGCAAGCGGAAUAUGUCAUGUAGCGGUGAAAUGCUUAGAUAUGACAUAGAACACCAAUUGCGAAGGCAGCUUACUACAUAUAAAUUGACGCUGAGGCACGAAAGCGUGGGGAUCAAAC
Molecule: ribosomal RNA, 420 nt
Filed under: uncultured bacterium
Lineage: Bacteria
Description: bacterial SSU rRNA
Rfam family: Bacterial small subunit ribosomal RNA
Source: RNAcentral